This 348-nucleotide RNase P RNA is filed under the name Candidatus Zixiibacteriota bacterium. RNAcentral's name for it is "RNase P RNA component class A". It matches the Rfam family "Bacterial RNase P class A". Rfam says of the family: Ribonuclease P (RNase P) is a ubiquitous endoribonuclease, found in archaea, bacteria and eukarya as well as chloroplasts and mitochondria. Its best characterised activity is the generation of mature 5'-ends of tRNAs by cleaving the 5'-leader elements of precursor-tRNAs. Cellular RNase Ps are ribonucleoproteins. The record is from RNAcentral. Lineage: Bacteria; Pseudomonadati; Candidatus Zixiibacteriota.
AGGUAAACAGGGACACCCUUAGGGGAGGAAAGUCCGGGCUUCCACGAGCCGGCAUACCUCGUAACACGAGGGCCCCGAAAGGGGCGGAAAGUGCCACAGAAACUAUACCGCCUGGAGGAGUUGUCUCCGAAAGGCAAGGGUGAAAUGGGAGGGCUUAAGAAACCCUCUGCCUCGAUGGAGACAUCGAGGGCUGGCAAACCCUAUGUGGAAGCAAGGUCAAGAAGGAGGCGGGCGGCUCUCCCUAUGCCUCCGGGUGGACCGCGGAUGACCUUCAGGGCAACCUGAAGGCAAGAUAAAUGUCCCUGAGCCGAGCUCUCGGCGACAGAACCCGGCUUACCUUACCUAAGG